This 542-nucleotide ribosomal RNA is filed under the name Fusarium virguliforme. RNAcentral's name for it is "eukaryotic LSU rRNA". The stretch from base 170 to 323 matches the Rfam family "5.8S ribosomal RNA". The record is from RNAcentral. Lineage: Eukaryota; Fungi; Ascomycota; Sordariomycetes; Hypocreales; Nectriaceae.
UGCGGAGGGAUCAUUACCGAGUUAUACAACUCCCAAACCCCUGUGAACUUACCUAUAACGUUGCUUCGGCGGGAAACCGACGGCCCCGUAAGACGGGCCGCCCCCGCCAGAGGACCCCCUAACUCUUGUUAUAUCCUGUUUCUCUGAGUACAACAAGCAAAUAAAUUAAAACUUUCAACAACGGAUCUCUUGGCUCUGGCAUCGAUGAAGAACGCAGCGAAACGCGAUAAGUAAUGUGAAUUGCAGAAUUUAGUGAAUCAUCGAAUCUUUGAACGCACAUUGCGCCCGCCAGUAUUCUGGCGGGCAUGCCUGUCCGAGCGUCAUUACAACCCUCAGGCCCCCGGGCCUGGUGUUGGGGAUCGGCGGAGCCCUCCGGGGCACACGCCGUCCCCCAAAUUCAGUGGCGGUCUCGCUGCAGCCUCCAUUGCGUAGUAGCUAACACCUCGCAACUGGAAGGCGGCGCGGCCACGCCGUAAAACCCCCCCAACUUCUGAAUGUUGACCUCGGAUCAGGUAGGAAUACCCGCUGAACUUAAGCAUAUC